UGCUUGUGACAAAAUGGAGCCUGCAGA
RNAcentral lists this non-coding RNA (27 nucleotides) under Rattus norvegicus (Norway rat). The record is from RNAcentral. Lineage: Eukaryota; Metazoa; Chordata; Mammalia; Rodentia; Muridae.